UUCUUCCACACAUAAAUUUAACCAAAAAAAAUAAUCUGAAAAUCCUGCCCUGCUGAGCUUAGAAUUCUUAACUUAGACAUUCUUGGCAAUAUUGUGACACAAAUAGACUGCAGCCUGCUUCCAUAAAGUUCUUUGUGCUCCUAUCCAUAGCAUUUACCGUGGAAGGUCACUGAUACAGAAGAUUACCAAACUUUUCUCUCAUGAAAUGCUAGAUACAAAUGCCA
This 224-nucleotide long non-coding RNA is filed under the name Phoenix dactylifera (date palm). RNAcentral describes it as "long non-coding RNA (PDAC_LNC005776)". The record is from RNAcentral. Lineage: Eukaryota; Viridiplantae; Streptophyta; Magnoliopsida; Arecales; Arecaceae.